RNAcentral lists this unclassified non-coding RNA (416 nucleotides) under Aliivibrio fischeri ES114. Lineage: Bacteria; Pseudomonadati; Pseudomonadota; Gammaproteobacteria; Vibrionales; Vibrionaceae. The record is from RNAcentral.
UGUCGGAAGGAUACUGACACGGAACAGGAACUAGCCAAGGAUUUGGUAAGCUUCAGGAUGAAGCAUUCGGUUAUUUAGGAUGAAUAAUCGGCAAGGAAAGCAAAGGACAUUGAACGGACGCAAUAGUAACUAGGAUGGUUGCUACUAAGGAAGACAAUGGAUACCUCUAGGAUAGAGGAAGGACUGAACAUCAGGAUGAUGUAAGGGACACCGCUCACGGAACAAGUGAAGAGAGUUAACGACGGACUGUUAACGGAUCAGGAUAAGAUCAAGGACACCGCUAGGACGGCGACGAACGGAAUAAGCUGAAGGAAUCAGCAUACUAUCAUGGAUUUGAUGCAUGGAGCACCACUUAGUAGCCGGACUGCUGCGAGUAGAGUUAUAACCCCAUUAAGCGAGAGCUUGGUGGGGUUUUU